UUCGGGAUGCCGGCGAGUGGCGAACGGGUGCGUAACGCGUGGAUACCUGCCCUGAGGUGGGGGACAACAGCUGGAAACGGCUGCUAAUACCGCAUACACCCCAAGGGGUAAAGACUUCGGUCGCCUUGGGAGGGGUCCGCGUCAGAUUAGCUUGUUGGUGGGGUAAAGGCUCACCAAGGCGAUGAUCUGUAGCUGGUCUGAGAGGAUGAUCAGCCACACUGGGACUGAGACACGGCCCAGACUCCUACGGGAGGCAGCAGUGGGGAAUAUUGCGCAAUGGGGGCAACCCUGACGCAGCGAUACCGCGUGGGUGAAGAAGGUCUUCGGAUUGUAAAGCCCUUUCAGUGGGGAAGAUAGUGACGGUACCCACAGAAGAAGCUCCGGCUAACUCCGUGCCAGCAGCCGCGGUAAUACGGAGGGGGCGAGCGUUGUUCGGAAUUACUGGGCGUAAAGGGCGCGUAGGCGGCCUUGUAAG
RNAcentral lists this ribosomal RNA (475 nucleotides) under uncultured Magnetococcus sp. Its description in RNAcentral is "bacterial SSU rRNA". It matches the Rfam family "Bacterial small subunit ribosomal RNA", at positions 79 to 587 of the family's 1533-position model. Lineage: Bacteria; Pseudomonadati; Pseudomonadota; Magnetococcia; Magnetococcales; Magnetococcaceae. The record is from RNAcentral.